Molecule: long non-coding RNA, 363 nt
Organism: Dreissena polymorpha
Lineage: Eukaryota; Metazoa; Mollusca; Bivalvia; Myida; Dreissenidae
Exons: 3
Source: RefSeq, a predicted model, not a curated record
AGAAUAAAUCUUCCUUAGUAUUAAAACAACAUUAAAUUAUCUUGAUAUCGCCUAACAUUGUAAGCAAGACGCUUAAACCGAUUACUCUUAAAACUGUUAAAUAGACUAAAAUAUUUAGGUACGUUGUGGCGCUGCCGUUAACUUACCAGGCGACAACAGAUAUUCACUACCGUUUGCUGAGUUUGAAAGCCCGAAAGAAGAAUUGACACAAUGAGCACCGUCGCCAUUGUUGCCUGCAUCGUUUUGGGAUGCAUUGCCAUUUCUGAAGCUCGUGAUUGCAUUGAUUACCUUGGUAAACCCGUUGCUUCUGGACAAUCUUAUUACGAUGGAUGCAACACUUGUCAAUGUGGAGUUAACGGAAUG